RNAcentral lists this ribosomal RNA (253 nucleotides) under uncultured bacterium. RNAcentral describes it as "partial 16S ribosomal RNA". It matches the Rfam family "Bacterial small subunit ribosomal RNA", at positions 524 to 776 of the family's 1533-position model. The record is from RNAcentral.
UACGAAGGGAGCUAGCGUUGUUCGGAAUCACUGGGCGUAAAGCGCGCGUAGGCGGCCAUGUAAGUCAGGGGUGAAAUCCCGGGGCUCAACCCCGGAACUGCCUUUGAAACUGCAUGGCUAGAGUCUGUGAGAGGGUGGUGGAAUUCCUAGUGUAGAGGUGAAAUUCGUAGAUAUUAGGAGGAACACCAGUGGCGAAGGCGGCUCACUGGCUCGGUACUGACGCUGAGGUGCGAAAGCGUGGGGAGCAAACAGG